Molecule: unclassified non-coding RNA, 378 nt
Filed under: plant metagenome
Description: partial contains 5.8S ribosomal RNA, internal transcribed spacer 2, and large subunit ribosomal RNA
Rfam family: 5.8S ribosomal RNA (bases 1-105)
Source: RNAcentral
GAAAUGCGAUAAGUAAUGUGAAUUGCAGAAUUCAGUGAAUCAUCGAAUCUUUGAACGCACCUUGCGCUCCUUGGUAUUCCUUGGAGCAUGCCUGUUUGAGUAUCAUGAAAUCUUCAAAGUAAAUCUUUUGUUAACUCAAUUGGUUUCUACUUUGGUAUUGGAGGUCUUUGCAGCUUCACACCUGCUCCUCUUUGUUCAUUAGCUGGAUCUCAGUGUUAUGCUUGGUUCCACUCGGCGUGAUAAGUUAUCUAUCGCUGAGGAAACUGUAAAAGGUGGCCAAGGUAAAUGCAGAUGAACCGCUUCUAAUAGUCCAUUGACUUGGACAAUACUUUUAUGAUCUGAUCUCAAAUCAGGUAGGGCUACCCGCUGAACUUAAGC